This 74-nucleotide transfer RNA is filed under the name Hirsutella minnesotensis 3608. RNAcentral's name for it is "tRNA-Ile (AAT) (tRNA-Ile-AAT-2-1, tRNA-Ile-AAT-2-2)". It matches the Rfam family "tRNA". Rfam says of the family: Transfer RNA (tRNA) molecules are approximately 80 nucleotides in length. Their secondary structure includes four short double-helical elements and three loops (D, anti-codon, and T loops). The record is from RNAcentral. Lineage: Eukaryota; Fungi; Ascomycota; Sordariomycetes; Hypocreales; Ophiocordycipitaceae.
GGUCCCAUAGCUCAGUUGGUUAGAGCGUCGUACUAAUAAUGCGAAGGUCUCAGGUUCGAGCCCUGGUGGGACCA